GGUAGACCACCGGAUCGAGCUGGAGCCGGGAGCUUGCCCCUCACACCGACGGGGCGGGCCCCUCACGCUGAAGCGGGUCGAGGCAAGCUCGCCCCUUUCUUUCACACCGGAGUUUCAUAUGAGGCGAUUGUUCACCGAGAGGAGUUUGACACACAAUGGUCCCACUAGACCGCGUUGUGGACCAAAGCCACAUCCGAUCAUGUUUUGACUCUUAGGUCACAACCUCACACACCUCCAAGGGGUCUGGUACAUACAAGAUGAUCAGUCACAAACCCCGGAAGAGGAGUUGAACGACUAUGAUCAUUAGGUGACUCACAGGUCACAAUAAAUACACCUCUGAGGGUGGGCUCUUUCGGCUCGCAAUAUAAGGAAG
Molecule: long non-coding RNA, 373 nt
Filed under: Amborella trichopoda
Lineage: Eukaryota; Viridiplantae; Streptophyta; Magnoliopsida; Amborellales; Amborellaceae
Description: long non-coding RNA (ATRI_LNC002531)
Source: RNAcentral